CCUACGGGGGCAGCAGUAGGGAAUCCUUCACAAUGGGCGAAAGCCUGAUGGAGCAACGCCGCGUGCAGGAUGAAGGCCUUCGGGUUGUAAACUGCUUUUAUAAGCGAGAAAUAUGAUGGUAACUUAUGAAUAAGGAUCGGCUAACUACGUGCCAGCAGCCGCGGUCAUACGUAGGAUCCGAGCAUUAUCCGGAGUGACUGGGUGUAAAGAGUUGCGUAGGUGGCAUAAUAAGUAGCUAGUGAAAUCUGGUGGCUCACCCAUUCAGACUAUUAGCUAAACUGUUAAGCUCGAGACCGUUAGGGGUAACUGGAAUUUGUAGUGUAGGAGUGAAAUCCGUAGAUAUUAGAAGGAACACCAAUAGCGUAGGCAGGUUGCUGGGACGGUUCUGACACUAAGGCACGAAAGCGUAGGGAGCAAACGGGAUUAGAUACCCUAGUAGUC
This 441-nucleotide ribosomal RNA is filed under the name uncultured bacterium. Its description in RNAcentral is "partial 16S ribosomal RNA". It matches the Rfam family "Bacterial small subunit ribosomal RNA", at positions 338 to 795 of the family's 1533-position model. The record is from RNAcentral.